This 333-nucleotide long non-coding RNA is filed under the name Junco hyemalis (dark-eyed junco). Its description in RNAcentral is "lncRNA (ENSJHYG00000009568.1)". The record is from RNAcentral. Lineage: Eukaryota; Metazoa; Chordata; Aves; Passeriformes; Passerellidae.
CAGCUGCAGCAUGGCCAUAAUGGUUUCUCAGAGGUGCUCUUGCAGCAGAGUGUGGUUGGGUGCAAUGGCUGAUGUGUGGGCACUGCUUUCUCACCAUCUCCUCAUGAACUGAGCAGCCAUCUGAUUCUGCCUGGCUCAUGCAUCUUGAAUUCCUGCAAACUUGUGAGGAGUUUUCCGAGCAUUGAAAAAAUCAAACCAAACCAAACCAAACCACCAAGAAAAGGAGACAGUAAUGAAGAGUAAGCUGAUUUUUUGUCCUGAUGUUCUCCGCCAGGUAAGAUAUACCACUAGGAGCUGGCAAGGCUGUGGGCUGCAUAUAAAAAGAUCAGCAUC